CCUACGGGAGGCAGCAGUGGGGAAUAUUGGACAAUGGGCGAAAGCCUGAUCCAGCCAUGCCGCGUGUGUGAAGAAGGCCUUCGGGUUGUAAAGCACUUUCAGUGGGGAAGAAAGCCUUGGGGCUAAUACCCUCGAGGAAGGACAUCACCCACAGAAGAAGCACCGGCUAACUCCGUGCCAGCAGCCGCGGUAAUACGGAGGGUGCGAGCGUUAAUCGGAAUUACUGGGCGUAAAGCGCGCGUAGGCGGUCUGAUAAGCCGGUUGUGAAAGCCCCGGGCUCAACCUGGGAACGGCAUCCGGAACUGUCAGGCUAGAGUGCAGGAGAGGAAGGUAGAAUUCCCGGUGUAGCGGUGAAAUGCGUAGAGAUCGGGAGGAAUACCAGUGGCGAAGGCGGCCUUCGGAACUGACACGAACGCGGAGGUGCGAAAGCGUGGGUAGCAAACAGGAUAAGAUACCCGAGUAGU
This 464-nucleotide ribosomal RNA is filed under the name Vreelandella stevensii. RNAcentral describes it as "partial 16S ribosomal RNA". It matches the Rfam family "Bacterial small subunit ribosomal RNA", at positions 338 to 794 of the family's 1533-position model. Lineage: Bacteria; Pseudomonadati; Pseudomonadota; Gammaproteobacteria; Oceanospirillales; Halomonadaceae. The record is from RNAcentral.